UUAGUCAUCAUCAGGACAGAUUAGUGUAAUGUUACAAAUACUGAUAUAUAUAUAUAUAUAUAUAUAUAUAUAUAUAUAUAUAUAUAUAUAUAUAUAUAUAUCAGUAUUUGUAACAUUACACUAAUCUGUCCUGAUGAUGACUAA
Non-coding RNA from Paramuricea clavata, 144 nucleotides. The record is from the annotation of a GenBank genome assembly. NCBI's taxonomy places the organism in Eukaryota, Metazoa, Cnidaria, Anthozoa, Malacalcyonacea, Plexauridae.